RNAcentral lists this ribosomal RNA (252 nucleotides) under uncultured bacterium. RNAcentral's name for it is "partial 16S ribosomal RNA". It matches the Rfam family "Bacterial small subunit ribosomal RNA", at positions 524 to 775 of the family's 1533-position model. The record is from RNAcentral.
GACGAAGGGGGCUAGCGUUGUUCGGAAUUACUGGGCGUAAAGCGCACGUAGGCGGAUAUUUAAGUCAGGGGUGAAAUCCCAGAGCUCAACUCUGGAACUGCCUUUGAUACUGGGUAUCUUGAGUAUGGAGGAGGUAAGUGGAAUUGCGAGUGUAGAGGUGAAAUUCGUAGAUAUUCGCGGGAACACCAGUGGCGAAGGCGGCUUACUGGUCCAUAACUGACGCUGAGGUGCGAAAGCGUGGGGAGCAACAGG